Long non-coding RNA from Oncorhynchus nerka (sockeye salmon), 1008 nucleotides. RefSeq lists it as uncharacterized. The transcript is spliced from 2 exons. The record is from RefSeq and is a predicted model, not a curated record. NCBI's taxonomy places the organism in Eukaryota, Metazoa, Chordata, Actinopteri, Salmoniformes, Salmonidae.
ACAGUUGGCAGUAUUUCCUGUUCGUCUUUAAUUCAAUGUACUUUUCCAAAAGAAAUCCCCUCCUUCAGUAAAGUGCUUAUGCGCGGUGUGUAACCAGAGACAGUAGAGAAAUCAUUCCCAGACCAUCUCUGGUGUAUCUUCAGGAAGAGAAGAACCAAUAGCCUACAGCUGAAUCAAGUGCAGCAUUGCCAAAGGUGAAGCAGGGAUGUUGUGUGAAAGCGCACUCUGGGGCAUUGAUCACCAUGAAGACUUGGCGAGAGAACUCACUCCUGCUCACGCGUCCCUAUCAGAGCCAACAUCAGACCGGGGUAGUUUCUACCCUCAUCUCUCCGAAUGCGCCAACAUCGGGGUUGAUGGCAGGGAAAAUAUGGAAAACCAUAUCAUGAAAGAGGCGGUGAAACAGAGAUCGGCUCAUCAAGAAAAGGGACUGGUCCCAGGAGACCAACUAGUGAGGAAUAUGGCAUCACCCCAUUCUACAGAGCGGUUUGGACCAACAGGGAGAGGGAAGUCAUCAGGAGCCGGACGGACACUGGUACCCUGUCAGAUUUCAUCUCCAAGUCUCUCGCAGAGUCGCACUAAAAACUAUGUCGUGUAAAGCUUGCCUCUUCAUUCUCCAUGGACAUAUUUAACAGUGGCUUAUGGAACAAUGUUAUUUAUUUUGUAUGUCAUUUCACUAUCCUUCAUAACCUAUGCUUUUUCGCUGACACGAUCGCCAGUUGUACGGUGUUUCCUCCGACACAACGGUGGGGCUGGCUUUCGGCGAGCAGUGUGUCAAGUAGCAGUGUGGCUUGUCAUGGUUGUGUUUCGGAGGACGCAUGACUUUCGACCUUCGCCUCUCUGGAGUCGGUACGGGAGUUGUAGCAAUGCGACAAGACUGACUGUAACUACCAAUUGGAUAUCAGGAACAUGUGGAGAAAAAGUGGUAAAAAGUACAAACAAAAAUGAUAAUAACCUGUGCUUGAUAUCCUGUUCAACCCUUCCUGUGAAUUAAAUAGCAUUACAGGCCUA